Molecule: ribosomal RNA, 702 nt
Filed under: Plasmopara viticola
Lineage: Eukaryota; Oomycota; Peronosporomycetes; Peronosporales; Peronosporaceae
Description: partial large subunit ribosomal RNA
Rfam family: Eukaryotic large subunit ribosomal RNA
Source: RNAcentral
GGGAUGAGCUCAAGCUUAAAAUCUCCGUGCAAUUUUUGCGCGGCGAAUUGUAGUCUAUGGAAGCGUGGUCAGUAUGGGCACUUGGGUUAAGUUCCUUGGAAGAGGACAGCAUGGAGGGUGAUACUCCCGUUCAUCCCUAAGUUGCUUGUGCGUACGACCCGUUUUCUUUGAGUCGCGUUGUUUGAGAAUGCAGCGCAAAGCAGGUGGUAAAUUCCAUCUAAAGCUAAAUAUUGGUGCGAGACCGAUAGCAUACAAGUACCGUGAGGGAAAGAUGAAAAGAACUUUGAAAAUAGAGUUAAAGAGUACCUGAAACUGCUGAAAGGUAACCAAAUCGUUUCCAGUGUCUAUAAUCCGUGGUAUAUUUCAUUGGCGAGCGUAUGCGUGCGUGUGCUGUUGCAGUGGCCUUUUGGCUGCGCUCGGCGUGUGUGCUGUGUGUGCUUGCCGGUGCCCUGUGCUAUGGUGGGACGUCAAGGUCAGUUCGUAUGCUGCGGGAAAUGGCCACCGAGGAGGUAGGGCUUACGCUUGCGUUUGUCUGUUAUAUCUUGGUGGACGAGUAGUCGCGGUUGGGACUGAGGUGCCUACAACGUGCUUUUGAGUGGAUUUGGGUCUCCGUGUGCGCCGUGUGCGGAUAGCUUGCUAUGCGUGUGUGGCUGUGUAUGGAUUGAUGCGAGUCGUAACUUGUAGCCGUUCGGGACGUUGACG